RNAcentral lists this ribosomal RNA (248 nucleotides) under uncultured bacterium. RNAcentral's name for it is "partial 16S ribosomal RNA". It matches the Rfam family "Bacterial small subunit ribosomal RNA", at positions 796 to 1041 of the family's 1533-position model. The record is from RNAcentral.
CACGCCGUAAACGAUGGGUACUAGGUGUCUGGGGGAGCGACCCCCUGGGUGCCGGCGCUAACGCAUGAAGUACCCCGCCUGGGGAGUACGGCCGCAAGGCUGAAACUCAAAGGAAUUGACGGGGGCCCGCACAAGCGGUGGAGCAUGUGGUUUAAUUCGACGCAACGCGAAGAACCUUACCUGGGCUUGACAUGCUGGAGAAAGCUUGCGGAAACGUGAGCCCCUCUUCGGAGUUCCAGCACAGAUGC